This 1034-nucleotide ribosomal RNA is filed under the name Arthrobacter castelli DSM 16402. RNAcentral describes it as "bacterial LSU rRNA". It matches the Rfam family "Bacterial large subunit ribosomal RNA", at positions 1897 to 2925 of the family's 2925-position model. The record is from RNAcentral. Lineage: Bacteria; Bacillati; Actinomycetota; Actinomycetes; Micrococcales; Micrococcaceae.
GGGCGAAGCUGGGAAUUUAAGCCCCAGUAAACGGCGGUGGUAACUAUAACCAUCCUAAGGUAGCGAAAUUCCUUGUCGGGUAAGUUCCGACCUGCACGAAUGGAGCAACGACUUCCCCGCUGUCUCAACCAUAAACUCGGCGAAAUUGCAUUACGAGUAAAGAUGCUCGUUACGCGCAGCAGGACGGAAAGACCCCGAGACCUUUACUAUAGUUUGGUAUUGGUGUUCGGUGUGGCUUGUGUAGGAUAGGUGGGAGACGUCGAUAUUCACACGCUAGUGUGGGUGGAGUCAUCGUUGAAAUACCACUCUGGUCAUACUGGAUAUCUAACUUCGGCCCGUAAUCCGGGUCAGGGACAGUGCCUGAUGGGUAGUUUAACUGGGGCGGUUGCCUCCUAAAGAGUAACGGAGGCGCCCAAAGGUUCCCUCAGCCUGGUUGGCAAUCAGGUGGCGAGUGUAAGUGCACAAGGGGGCUUGACUGUGAGAGUGGCAGCUCGAGCAGGGACGAAAGUCGGGACUAGUGAUCCGGCGGCACAUUGUGGAAUGGCCGUCGCUCAACGGAUAAAAGGUACCUCGGGGAUAACAGGCUGAUCUUGCCCAAGAGUCCAUAUCGACGGCAUGGUUUGGCACCUCGAUGUCGGCUCGUCGCAUCCUGGGGCUGGAGUUGGUCCCAAGGGUUGGGCUGUUCGCCCAUUAAAGCGGUACGCGAGCUGGGUUUAGAACGUCGUGAGACAGUUCGGUCCCUAUCCGCUGCGCGCGUAGGAAAUUUGAGAAGGUCUGUCCUUAGUACGAGAGGACCGGGACGGACGAACCUCUGGUGUGUCAGUUGUACUGCCAAGUGCACCGCUGAUUAGCUACGUUCGGGAUGGAUAACCGCUGAAAGCAUCUAAGUGGGAAGCCGGCUUCAAGAUGAGAUUUCCACAGGCAUUGUGCCUGGGAGGCCCCCAGCCAGACCACUGGGUUGAUAGGCCGGACGUGGAAGCAAGGACUAAAGACUUGUGAAGCUGACCGGUACUAAUAGGCCGACAACUUACACC